This 869-nucleotide ribosomal RNA is filed under the name uncultured archaeon. RNAcentral describes it as "bacterial SSU rRNA". It matches the Rfam family "Archaeal small subunit ribosomal RNA", at positions 1 to 878 of the family's 1478-position model. The record is from RNAcentral.
CUCCGGUUGAUCCUGCCGGACCUGACUGCUAUCGGAUUGGUACUGAGCCAUGCGAGUCGUUGUAGCAAUACAAGGCGGACGGCUCAGUAACACGUAGUCAACCUAACCUAUGGACGUGGAUAACCUCGGGAAACUGAGAAUAAACCGCGAUAGAUCAUUAUGCCUGGAAUGGCUUAUGGUUCAAACAAUUUAUUGCCGUAGGAUGGGACUGCGGCCUAUCAGCUUGUUGGUGAGGUAAUGGCCCACCAAGGCUAUAACAGGUACGGGCUCUGAGAGGAGAAGCCCGGAGAUGGGUACUGAGACACGGACCCAGGCCCUAUGGGGCGCAGCAGGCGAGAAACCUUAGCAAUGUGCGAAAGCACGACUAGGUUAAUCCGAGUGAUUUCUGUUGAAGAAAUCUUUUGUCAGUCGUAAAACCACAGACGAAUAAGGGGUGGGCAAGUCUGGUGUCAGCCGCCGCGGUAAUACCAGCACCUCGAGUGGUCAGGAGGUUUAUUGGGCCUAAAGCAUCCGUAGCCGGCUACGCAAGUCUCCGGUUAAAUCCAGCUGCUCAACAGAUGGGCUGCCGGAGAUACUACAUAGCUAGGGAGCGGGAGAGGUAGACGGUAUUCUGUGGGUAGGGGUAAAAUCCACUGAUCCAUAGAGGACCACCAGUGGCGAAGGCGGUCUACCAGAACGCGUUCGACGGUGAGGGAUGAAAGCUGGGGGAGCAAACCGGAUUAGAUACCCGGGUAGUCCCAGCUGUAAACGAUGCAAACUCGGUGAUGCAUUGGCUUAUGGCCAAUGCAGUGCCGCAGGGAAGCCGUUAAGUUUGCCGCCUGGGAAGUACGGACGCAAGUCUGAAACUUAAAGGGAAUGGCGGGGGAGCA